GUAGUAGUAGUCAUCGUAAUCGACAGUGGUGGAGGAGUCAGAGUCAUCAGGAUGCAGAGCAAGGUCCAGAGGCAAAAAGCGAGGCGACCCAAUUCCAGGUUUAUAGAGCUUUCAGGCUUAGACGGAUGCUAUUACGGGCGUCUCAUGAUCAGACAAUCAUGUAUAUGUAGUAUAGAAUCUACAAAUGGAAUUCUGAUCCAGCUCAAUAUGAAAGUUUAUGGAAUGUAAUCAAGUGAUUCACUGUUAUGGGAAUGUAAUCAAGUGAUCACUGCUGGAGCUGAUUUAAGUGAAAAUGUCGUGCAUUGGUGGAUGAAAUUAAUGAGCUGAUGGAUCCUUUGAAUCUAUCAAAUGGAGACAUGUUGGUAGAGAAUGCAAUUAUGCGUCACACAGAAUUGCCAAGGAAGU
Molecule: long non-coding RNA, 405 nt
Organism: Rosa rugosa (rugosa rose)
Lineage: Eukaryota; Viridiplantae; Streptophyta; Magnoliopsida; Rosales; Rosaceae
Exons: 3
Source: RefSeq, a predicted model, not a curated record